UAGCACCUCUCCCUUCACUCUCUUUCUCCUGUUUGGCCGUGUACCAAGUUCCUGCCUGUCUUCUGUCUUCACCCGUGACUUGCCUCAAGUAGUUGGCUCCUUUCCCACCGGCUACUUUGUAACUGCGAAUAUGACAACAUGACGGUGAUUCACAGAUGCCAAAAUAUGACGAGCAGAGCAAAUCUGUGUUCCAGAUAUGAUAAGGUCCCAUCUUCUUAGGAAGUUUUAAACAACUGUCAAAAGUAUGCACAAUCAAAAUCAAGAAUCAAAUCUGAAUAUCACCGUAACCCAUAUUUUGCUCAGUUACCAUCUUGUCAAUUGCUUUUCAGUGAUUUUUGCAUAAAGGUUUGUUCACUAAACUGAUAAAACAAAGUA
RNAcentral lists this long non-coding RNA (375 nucleotides) under Homo sapiens (human). Its description in RNAcentral is "HSALNT0323868". Lineage: Eukaryota; Metazoa; Chordata; Mammalia; Primates; Hominidae. The record is from RNAcentral.